Molecule: long non-coding RNA, 358 nt
Organism: Ornithodoros turicata
Lineage: Eukaryota; Metazoa; Arthropoda; Arachnida; Ixodida; Argasidae
Exons: 3
Source: RefSeq, a predicted model, not a curated record
CUUCCUUGGUCCAUGCAAGGCUCCGCAGACUUCCGGACAAGCAUGCUUCGACGACGACCAUGAGCUGUGCUUCUUCGAGCAAUGUGGAAGGAAAUACAGCGAGAUAAAGGCGCUGGCCCGUCGUAAUUGGAACCUACCAGACAGUCAUUACGACGAAGAUGCUGCCUGUGCAAAAUAUCCUUGAGGUGGCGUUCAUCUGCUCAAGAUUGCCUGGUCUUGUCGUGCACGUUACUUCGAUUCGACUAAGCGACUGCUGCCGCUGUCUUGUUUUCAAUAUUCCCUGCAUUGAGACACUGUUGCAGAACUGCUCAGAAUUGUGAACUAUGUGAUUCUAUAACACAUUGAUGCUCCUUUGCCA